This 243-nucleotide unclassified non-coding RNA is filed under the name air metagenome. RNAcentral describes it as "partial contains small subunit ribosomal RNA, internal transcribed spacer 1, and 5.8S ribosomal RNA". The stretch from base 1 to 46 matches the Rfam family "Eukaryotic small subunit ribosomal RNA", at positions 1786 to 1831 of the family's 1831-position model. The record is from RNAcentral.
AAGUCGUAACAAGGUUUCCGUAGGUGAACCUGCGGAAGGAUCAUUAAUCAGUGGAUCCGGCGGGGACCUCCCCGCCGGGUAGACCUCCACCCGUGCCUAUCUACUCUUGUUGCUUUGGCGGGCCGUGGCCUCCACUACGGGCUCUGCUCGUACGUGCCCGCCAGAGGACCAAACUCUGAAUUUUAGUGAUGUCUGAGUACUAUUUAAUAGUUAAAACUUUCAACAACGGAUCUCUUGGUUCUG